This 253-nucleotide ribosomal RNA is filed under the name uncultured bacterium. Its description in RNAcentral is "partial 16S ribosomal RNA". It matches the Rfam family "Bacterial small subunit ribosomal RNA", at positions 524 to 776 of the family's 1533-position model. The record is from RNAcentral.
UACGAAGGGGGCUAGCGUUGCUCGGAAUUACUGGGCGUAAAGGGAGUGUAGGCGGACAUUUAAGUCAGGGGUGAAAUCCCGGGGCUCAACCUCGGAAUUGCCUUUGAUACUGGGUGUCUUGAGUAUGAGAGAGGUAUGUGGAACUCCGAGUGUAGAGGUGAAAUUCGUAGAUAUUCGGAAGAACACCAGUGGCGAAGGCGACAUACUGGCUCAUUACUGACGCUGAGGCUCGAAAGCGUGGGGAGCAAACAGG